RNAcentral lists this ribosomal RNA (395 nucleotides) under uncultured Porphyrobacter sp. RNAcentral describes it as "bacterial SSU rRNA". It matches the Rfam family "Bacterial small subunit ribosomal RNA", at positions 987 to 1382 of the family's 1533-position model. Lineage: Bacteria; Pseudomonadati; Pseudomonadota; Alphaproteobacteria; Sphingomonadales; Erythrobacteraceae. The record is from RNAcentral.
UCCUAGGACGACUUCUGGAGACAGAUUUCUUCCCUUCGGGGACCUAGUGACAGGUGCUGCAUGGCUGUCGUCAGCUCGUGUCGUGAGAUGUUGGGUUAAGUCCCGCAACGAGCGCAACCCUCGUCCUUAGUUGCCAUCAUUAAGUUGGGCACUUUAAGGAAACUGCCGGUGAUAAGCCGGAGGAAGGUGGGGAUGACGUCAAGUCCUCAUGGCCCUUACAGGCUGGGCUACACACGUGCUACAAUGGCAUCUACAGUGGGCAGCUAUUCCGCAAGGAUGCGCUAAUCUCCAAAAGAUGUCUCAAUUCGGAUUGUCCUCUGCAACUCGAGGGCAUGAAGGCGGAAUCGCUAGUAAUCGCGGAUCAGCAUGCCGCGGUGAAUACGUUCCCAGGCCUU